This is a long non-coding RNA of Cyprinus carpio carpio, 514 nucleotides long. Lineage: Eukaryota; Metazoa; Chordata; Actinopteri; Cypriniformes; Cyprinidae. The record is from Ensembl.
GGUUAUUUAGCUUUUUUAAUGACAUUUUCUGUAAGUAGAAGAGAUAUUAAAAAUAACCGCUGUUAUACUUCUGUUAAAUUAUAUAUUUUAUAAUAUGAAUUAUAUUUCUUAAUGGUAUAACAACAGAAAUUAAGAUACUUUUAAAUAAGUUAUUACACUUAAUAUUUUUAUUUAACAUUAGAAUAUUGUGUUUUAUACAAUUGUUUUUAAUAAGGCGUUCCACAUACACAAUUUCGCCAAAUCCUGAGUUUAAUUUUUGAUAUAAGCACUCUGUUGUUUUUUGUUUGUUUGUUUUUUUUUGUUGGACUUUUCUACAUAUGCACAACGAAGUAAUUUAUUUAUUUAUUUAUUUAUUUAUUUAAAUAUUUGCUUUUUUUUCCCCUCUGUUGCAUGUAUCCAAUCAAAACAGACCUGCAAUCCAUUUCUGAGAACCGAGGCUUUAAGCAGUCGAGGUUGUGUGGAGGGUAAAGCCAAGGUUUUCUUUCCGCUUUUAUUGGAUGGCAGAUCCAAUUAA